This 75-nucleotide transfer RNA is filed under the name Alphaproteobacteria bacterium. RNAcentral's name for it is "tRNA-Gln". It matches the Rfam family "tRNA". Rfam says of the family: Transfer RNA (tRNA) molecules are approximately 80 nucleotides in length. Their secondary structure includes four short double-helical elements and three loops (D, anti-codon, and T loops). Further hydrogen bonds mediate the characteristic L-shaped molecular structure. tRNAs have two regions of fundamental functional importance: the anti-codon, which is responsible for specific mRNA codon recognition, and the 3' end, to which the tRNAs corresponding amino acid is attached (by aminoacyl-tRNA synthetases). tRNAs cope with the degeneracy of the genetic code in two manners: having more than one tRNA (with a specific anti-codon) for a particular amino acid; and 'wobble' base-pairing, i.e. permitting non-standard base-pairing at the 3rd anti-codon position. Lineage: Bacteria; Pseudomonadati; Pseudomonadota; Alphaproteobacteria. The record is from RNAcentral. RNAcentral also lists the same sequence under 1 other name.
UGGGGUGUCGCCAAGUGGUAAGGCAGCGGCUUUUGAUGCCGCCAUUCCCAGGUUCGAAUCCUGGCACCCCAGCCA